CCUGGGAACUGCGUUNUGAACUGGGUGACUAGAGUGUNUCAGAAGGAGGUAGAAUUCCACGUGUAGCAGUGAAAUGCGUAGAGAUGUGGAGGAAUACCGAUGGCGAAGGCAGCCUCCUGGGAUAACACUGACGUUCAUGCCCGAAAGCGUGGGUAGCAAACAGGAUUAGAUACCCUGGUAGUNCACGCCCUAAACGAUGUCGAUUAGCUGUUGGGCAGCAUGACUGCUUAGUAGCGAAGCUAACGCGUGAAAUCGACCGCCUGGGGAGUACGGUCGCAAGAUUAAAACUCAAAGGAAUUGACGGGGACCCGCACAAGCGGUGGAUGAUGUGGAUUAAUUCGAUGCAACGCGAAGAACCUUACCUGGUCUUGACAUGUACGGAAUCCUCCAGAGACGGAGGGGUGCCUUCGGGAGCCGUAACACAGGUGCUGCAUGGCUGUCGUCAGCUCGUGUCGUGAGAUGUUGGGUUAAGUCCCGCAACGAGCGCAACCCUUGUCAUUAGUUGCCAUCAUUAAGUUGGGCACUCUAAUGAGACUGCCGGUGACAAGCCGGAGGAAGGUGGGGAUGACGUCAAGUCCUCAUGGCCCUUAUGACCAGGGCUUCACACGUCAUACAAUGGUCGGUACAGAGGGUAGCCAAGCCGCGAGGUGGAGCCAAUCUCACAAAACCGAUCGUAGUCCGGAUUGCACUCUGCAACUCGAGUGCAUGAAGUCGGAAUCGCUAGUAAUCGCAGGUCAGCAUACUGCGGUGAAUACGUUCCCGGGUCUUGUACACACCGCCCGUCACACCAUGGGAGUGGGGGAUACCAGAAGUAG
This 815-nucleotide ribosomal RNA is filed under the name uncultured bacterium. Its description in RNAcentral is "bacterial SSU rRNA". It matches the Rfam family "Bacterial small subunit ribosomal RNA", at positions 613 to 1429 of the family's 1533-position model. The record is from RNAcentral.